RNAcentral lists this transfer RNA (69 nucleotides) under Nostocales cyanobacterium LEGE 11386. RNAcentral describes it as "tRNA-Leu". It matches the Rfam family "tRNA". Rfam says of the family: Transfer RNA (tRNA) molecules are approximately 80 nucleotides in length. The record is from RNAcentral. Lineage: Bacteria; Bacillati; Cyanobacteriota; Cyanophyceae; Nostocales.
UACAUACUAGCCAAAUGGUAAGGCACUUGACUUAAGAUCAAGCAAUUACGGGUUCCAAUCCCGUGUGUG